RNAcentral lists this ribosomal RNA (464 nucleotides) under uncultured bacterium. RNAcentral describes it as "partial 16S ribosomal RNA". It matches the Rfam family "Bacterial small subunit ribosomal RNA", at positions 28 to 507 of the family's 1533-position model. The record is from RNAcentral.
GACGAACGCUGGCGGCGUGCUUAACACAUGCAAGUCGAGCGGUAAGGCCCCAGCUUGCUGGGGGACACGAGUGGCGAACGGGUGAGUAACACGGGGGUGACCUGCCCCGCACUUCGGGAUAAGCCGGGGAAACUGGGUCUAAUACCGGAUAGGACCGCACCGUGAGGGGGGGGUGGAAAGUUUUUCGGGGUGGGAUGGGCCCGCGGCCUAUCAGCUUGUUGGUGGGGUAAUGGCCUACCAAGGCGGCGACGGGUAGCCGGCCUGAGAGGGUGGACGGCCACAUUGGGCCUGAGACACGGCCCAGACUCCUACGGGAGGCAGCAGUGGGGACUAUUGCACAAUGGGCGGAAGCCUGAUGCAGCGACGCCGCGUGGGGGAUGACGGCCUUCGGGUUGUAAACUCCUUUCACCAUCGACGAAGGUUUUCUGACGGUAGAUGGAGAAGAAGCACCGGCUAACUACGUG